UUCCGUCGUCUCCUGCAAGGCCAGCCUGGUACGUGUUUGCUGCUGCGGGUCUUAUGAAACCGGCGCGACUCAUGAAGGUGUUCGUCACUGGCCCGUUGCCUGCCGAGGGCAGGGCUGCGCUCGCCCAGGCCGCAGACUGUGAGGUGGAACAGUGGAAUUCGGAUGAUCCCAUCCCCAGAAAGGAUCUGGAGCAAGGUGUGGUGGGGGCCCAUGGCUUGCUCUGCCGCCUCUCUGACCGUGUGGACAAGAAACUUCUGGAUGCCGCAGGAGCCAACCUCAGAGUCAUCAGCACCCUGUCUGUGGGGGUCGACCACUUGGCUUUGGAUGAAAUCAAGAAGCGCGGGAUCCGGGUGGGCUACACGCCAGGUGUCCUGACAGAUGCCACUGCAGAACUCGCCGUCUCCCUCCUCCUCACCACCUGCCGCCGGUUGCCGGAGGCCAUAGAGGAAGUAAAGAAUGGCGGCUGGAGCUCCUGGAGCCCCUUAUGGAUGUGCGGCUACGGACUCUCGCAGAGCACUGUUGGCAUUGUGGGGCUGGGGCGCAUAGGUCAGGCCAUCGCUCGACGACUGAAACCAUUCGGUGUUCAGAGAUUUCUUUACACGGGGCGCCAGCCCAGGCCUCAGGAAGCAGCCGAGUUUCAGGCAGAGUUUGUGCCUAUUGCUCAGCUGGCCGCAGAGUCAGACUUCAUCGUUGUGUCCUGCUCCUUAACACCCGCUACCAUGGGGCUCUGCAACAAGGAUUUCUUCCAGAAGAUGAAGAACACAGCUAUCUUCAUCAAUAUCAGCAGAGGAGAUGUGGUAAACCAGGAAGACCUGUACCAGGCACUAGCCAGUGGUCAGAUUGCAGCAGCAGGACUGGAUGUGACCACCCCUGAACCACUGCCUCCUAGCCACCCCCUGCUGACCCUCAAGAACUGCGUGAUCCUGCCCCACAUUGGCAGUGCCACCUACAAAACUCGCAACACCAUGUCCUUGCUGGCGGCUAACAACUUGCUGGCUGGCCUAAGAGGGGAGGCCAUGCCCAGCGAACUCGAGCUGUAACCAGAUGGGCUUUCAUGGGCUGGAGACAUCUUGCCGGACAGAGCCAAGCUGGACUUCGGACUUUGAUAGCACCAAGUCACCUGGUUACACACGGUAUGUUCUGCAUUGCUGUACAGGGAUGGAAUACUCCCAUCACAGGAUACAGGACAUUUAAUUAAAUGCUUCACAGAGCUUUAAAAUAGUGUUAAAAUGUUUUCUGCACUUUCAUUUUUAAAUUCGAUAUUCUUAACAACAGUGACAACCUACUUUAGGACUGCAUUCCUCCACCCUAAGAAAUGUGCAGGUUAGUAAGGGCUACACCUAACAGUUCUCUGCUUACUCUCGGCUGAAAUUCAUGAGAGCCACUGGGCAGUGAGACCGAGUCCAGUGACAAGAGCUGCCUGCCUACAGCGGUUUUAGUUUCAGUGCAGACUGGCCUGUGCGCUGUGGCGAGGAGCGAUCAGAGCAGGGUGCUCGGGAGGUUGCUGCUCUGCCAGCGCAGGCAGGUCGUUUUCGAGUGUUUGUACAGGUGGCUGGACUGACUGAACCGUUUGCCACACUUGAGGCAGGCGUACGGCUUUUCUCCCGUGUGGACCCGGAUGUGCUUCUUGCAGUCCGUCAGAGUCAGGAAGGUUUUACAGCAGAUUUUGCAGGCAUACUUUCGAGCUCCCUCCACAACCAAGACAUUGUGCUCCGAUAAGGCCUUCUUGCACUUUGACAAGACAUCAGCAGACGCCCUGGUCAACUGCGGAGGGCCAGGCUGGGAGGUGUGGCCAUUUUCAAAUGAGGUGGCCCCGUUCAUCAUUAGCUGGGAACUGGCUGAGUUUUCAGAGAUCUGUGAGCUCCUGACAGAAGUUACCACUGGCAUUUUUGGAGCUAUUCGUCGGUAAUAUGGAAAGUUACUGGCCCCUCCUCGUGGGGAACCCAUCAUGGCCCUGGAGAAGGAAGAGUGGAGACCCAAGCCAGACCUGGAAAAAUCCAUCCCGAAUUGUUCUCCUUGGUAGCCUGAGGUCUGCACACAGGGCAGGCCCAUCACCUCCUGCAUAGGUCUGACGAAGUGGGAGUCUGCAGGCUCACUGAACGGGUUCUCUACAUGGGAACCAGGGGCAGAGGAAGGCCCACUUGCUGGCCCAGCCUCUGGACUCAACAGAUUAUUCGUGACUUCCAAGAUGUGGAUGUCCCCGACCCUGUCGGUGCUGGACUGGGGAUCGGAAAAGCUCCGGUCACUGCUUUCAGGGCUGAGGUCUAUCUUCUCGGCACUGACCACCACUCCUUCCACCUCCACAGACUCACUGCCCUCUGCUUGGGAGGUCACGUCACUCACUUCAUCCUGCGGCUCAGGAGAGCUCAGGGGCUCCGAUUUCACCACCACUCUCAUGUGCUCCUUCUCCCCGAGGCCAACCUCAGGAUUUUCACACUGGAAACUGCCUUUCUCAGCCACAGCCUCUUGUUCAAAACUCGUUUCAACCUGAGUUGCACGAGAGGCCAUGUUGCCAGCACUGCCAUCUGACUGGCUGGGCACUUGAGCAUCUUCUUGGGCACCAAAAGGCCGAUCAAACAUCAUGGCACUGUCUUCCUGGUUGUCAGCCAUCCCAUCGGGUUUAGGAUUAUCCACAAUUUUCAGAGAAUCCGGUGAGAAGAAUUCCUCCCGGGAAUGAACUCCCGCAGGCCCGCUCUCUGGAGCAACAUCUGAAAUGGCAGAUUCCUCCAUGGAGGGUCGCAGGCGCUGCCGGGCCCGCUCCUCUACGGACUGUUUGCGCUUGUGAAGGCGUCUCAUGGGGAAGGGGGUCCGCUGGUCCAGGCUACUGCGCAUGGAUGAGCUCAUAGGGGCUGUCGGCUCCUCCGCACUCUGGCUGGAACUGAGGGCUGAGCUCACAAUGCUGAGUCCCAGCUGCUGCAGCAUAAAAGAGCGCUGCAUGCGGGCACUCUGCUCCUGAGCACGCUCACUAGAGGGAGACAUGGGGAGCGUCCUUGUCGUCAGGUAAUGUUUACAUGCCUUAACAACAGAGUUCAGAUGCAGGUGAGAGGCUGCCAAUAAGACAUCCAUAACGUUGCUCUCCCCUAGCAUGAGGGUGGAGGUAUACAUCAUGUCAAUCAGGGCGGCGAAGGCCUCGGCUGUCACCACCUCACUAUCUAGCUGGAUCAUGUUCAUGGUCUGAUCUCCUUCCGCCACCGAGAACAGUGCUCGGAAAUGCGUACUGCAUGCUGCCAGCACGGAGCGGUGGGCUUUGAAAUGCCUGUUCCCCACUACAAUGACACAGUCACACAGCUGCCCAUGAAGUCUCUGGUAGUUCAGCUGCUGAAAGAUCUGCUCAAAGUGACCAGGAAAAUCCAUUGUCCUAUACAAGACACAAAGGAAAAAGGGUUAAGACCUAACAAAGCUUAACUCAGAACCAGAACAUAGAAUGCACUAAGAGAGGUGUGGAAGCCGGGCCAUGGAGGUGUAAGCCUUUAAUCUCUGAGUUCAAGGCCAGCCUGAUCUACAAAGUAAGUUCCAGGACAGCCAGGGCUUCACAGAGAAACCCUGUCUCGAAAAAAAGGGGGCUUGGUGGGGCGGGUCAGGGCUGACAAGAAGGUUCAGCCAGUUAAUAUUCCUAUACCAAGCUUAACAAACUUAAGUUCCAUCCCUGAGUCCCACAUAGAGGAAGAGGAGAAGAACCAACUCCCAAAAGCUGUGCUGUGACCACUAAACACCCAUCAGGGGACAUCGACAUAUGUACACACACAAAUAAGUGCAAUUUUAAAGAAUGGCCGGCCACAUUUGGAGCUUUUAAAGCUUGUGACAUCUAAUAAUGGGCCCGAAUAUAAGACCUGUCAACUAUGGAGCAAAAGUCAGUUCAGCUCAAGCUCCAGAUCCAUUAGCCCUUCAUGGAACUUGCUUAGAACACUGAGGUCUCUGUUAAAAAAGCCCCACUGAAAGGCUGAAUUGCUCCACUGAAAUUUGUUAGCAUUCAGCAUUUCCUA
This is an RNA transcript of Mus caroli (Ryukyu mouse), 3983 nucleotides long. It is a transcript of the gene named glyoxylate and hydroxypyruvate reductase, with no coding region annotated. The record is from RefSeq and is a predicted model, not a curated record. NCBI's taxonomy places the organism in Eukaryota, Metazoa, Chordata, Mammalia, Rodentia, Muridae.